AAUGAUAAACCAAGGAGAUUUUGAGAACUUGUCUAGAAACUAGAAUGGUGUAUAACAACAUAAGGCUGUUUGAUUACUAUGUAGUGUGUAAAUAAUAAUGUAGUUUUUGUGAUUGUUUGUCAGUUUCAUCUAGAGUCAGCGCCGGAGAUCAAACUGUUCAGAUCCAUCAUGGAUGAAACACAAACAACUGGAGAUGAAGAUUUGUUUCAAGGAUGCAGUUCAGUUCAUCAGAAGAGAUCAGAAGCAGAGCCCAGCUGUGUGUCUGUGAAGAGUGACGCGUCUAUGAUUGAUCCAAUGAAGUUUAACAGUGGAGAUUCACAACCUAAACUCAGCUCAGUUCAUCAGAAGAGAUCAGAAGCAGAGCCCAGCUGUGUGUCUGUGAAGAGUGAUGCGAUUAUGACUCAGUCAUUAGAUUAUAAAAGUGGAGAUACACGGCCUGAUGUCAGGUAUAAUGU
Cyprinus carpio (common carp) is the source of this 455-nucleotide long non-coding RNA. RefSeq lists it as uncharacterized. The record is from RefSeq and is a predicted model, not a curated record. The transcript is spliced from 3 exons. Lineage: Eukaryota; Metazoa; Chordata; Actinopteri; Cypriniformes; Cyprinidae.